Molecule: ribosomal RNA, 256 nt
Filed under: Phomatospora sp.
Lineage: Eukaryota; Fungi; Ascomycota; Sordariomycetes; Phomatosporaceae
Description: partial small subunit ribosomal RNA
Rfam family: Eukaryotic small subunit ribosomal RNA
Source: RNAcentral
GUGUCAAAGCAGGCCUAUGCUCGAAUACAUUAGCAUGGAUAAUAGAAUAGGACGUGUGGUUCUAUUUGUUGGUUUCUAGGACCGCCGUAAUGAUUAAUAGGGACAGUCGGGGGCAUCAGUAUUCAAUUGUCAGAGGUGAAAUUCUUGGAUUUAUUGAAGACUAACUACUGCGAAAGCAUUUGCCAAGGAUGUUUUCAUUAAUCAGGAACGAAAGUUAGGGGAUCGAAGACGAUCAGAUACCGUCGUAGUCUUAACC